GACGAAAGAUGGAGGCGUGCUUAACACAUGCAAGUCGAACGGAAAGGCCCUGCUUUUGUGGGGUGCUCGAGUGGCGAACGGGUGAGUAACACGUGAGUAACCUGCCCUUGACUUUGGGAUAACUUCAGGAAACUGGGGCUAAUACCGGAUAGGAGCUCCUGCUGCAUGGUGGGGGUUGGAAAGUUUCGGCGGUUGGGGAUGGACUCGCGGCUUAUCAGCUUGUUGGUGGGGUAGUGGCUUACCAAGGCUUUGACGGGUAGCCGGCCUGAGAGGGUGACCGGCCACAUUGGGACUGAGAUACGGCCCAGACUCCUACGGGAGGCAGCAGUGGGGAAUAUUGCACAAUGGGCGGAAGCCUGAUGCAGCAACGCCGCGUGCGGGAUGACGGCCUUCGGGUUGUAAACCGCUUUCGCCUGUGACGAAGCGUGAGUGACGGUAAUGGGUAAAGAAGCACCGGCUAACUACGUG
Molecule: ribosomal RNA, 468 nt
Filed under: uncultured bacterium
Lineage: Bacteria
Description: partial 16S ribosomal RNA
Rfam family: Bacterial small subunit ribosomal RNA
Source: RNAcentral